Molecule: ribosomal RNA, 245 nt
Filed under: uncultured bacterium
Lineage: Bacteria
Description: partial 16S ribosomal RNA
Rfam family: Bacterial small subunit ribosomal RNA
Source: RNAcentral
AACGUAGGAGCCAAGCGUUAUCCGAAUUCACUGGGCGUAAAGCGCGUGCAGGCGGCCUGGUAAGUUGGCUGUGAAAUCUCCUGGCUCAACUGGGAGAGGCCGGUCAAUACUGUCAGGCUCGAGGGCGACAGAGGGAGGUGGAAUUCCGGGUGUAGUGGUGAAAUGCGUAGAUAUCCGGAGGAACACCAGAGGCGAAGGCGACCUCCUGGGUCGUACCUGACGCUCAGAUGCGAAAGCUAGGGGAG